This 562-nucleotide ribosomal RNA is filed under the name uncultured bacterium. RNAcentral describes it as "partial 16S ribosomal RNA". It matches the Rfam family "Bacterial small subunit ribosomal RNA", at positions 355 to 909 of the family's 1533-position model. The record is from RNAcentral.
UGGGGAAUUUUGGACAAUGGGGGAAACCCUGAUCCAGCCAUCCCGCGUGUGCGAUGAAGGCCUUCGGGUUGUAAAGCACUUUUGGCAGGAAAGAAACGUCGCGGGUUAAUACCCCGCGAAACUGACGGUACCUGCAGAAUAAGCACCGGCUAACUACGUGCCAGCAGCCGCGGUAAUACGUAGGGUGCAAGCGUUAAUCGGAAUUACUGGGCGUAAAGCGUGCGCAGGCGGUUCGGAAAGAAAGAUGUGAAAUCCCAGAGCUUAACUUUGGAACUGCAUUUUUAACUACCGGGCUAGAGUGUGUCAGAGGGAGGUGGAAUUCCGCGUGUAGCAGUGAAAUGCGUAGAUAUGCGGAGGAACACCGAUGGCGAAGGCAGCCUCCUGGGAUAACACUGACGCUCAUGCACGAAAGCGUGGGGAGCAAACAGGAUUAGAUACCCUGGUAGUCCACGCCCUAAAACGAUGUCAACUAGCUGUUGGGGCCUUCGGGCCUUGGUAGCGCAGCUAACGCGUGAAGUUGACCGCCUGGGGAGUACGGUCGCAAGAUUAAAACUCAAAUGAA